AAGAUUUUAAGUUAAAUAAACUAUAAACCUUCAAAGUUUAAAAUAAAAUUAUUUUUAAAUCUUA
Molecule: transfer RNA, 64 nt
Filed under: Qianguimon aflagellum
Lineage: Eukaryota; Metazoa; Arthropoda; Malacostraca; Decapoda; Potamidae
Description: tRNA-Trp
Source: RNAcentral